Molecule: ribosomal RNA, 301 nt
Filed under: uncultured bacterium
Lineage: Bacteria
Description: partial 16S ribosomal RNA
Rfam family: Bacterial small subunit ribosomal RNA
Source: RNAcentral
CAGCCGCCACGGUAAUACGUAGGGUGCAAGCGUUAAUCGGAAUUACUGGGCGUAAAGCGUGCGCAGGCGGUUCGUUAAGACAGAUGUGAAAUCCCCGGGCUUAACCUGGGAACUGCAUUUGUGACUGGCGAGCUAGAGUAUGGCAGAGGGGGGUAGAAUUCCACGUGUAGCAGUGAAAUGCGUAGAGAUGUGGAGGAAUACCGAUGGCGAAGGCAGCCCCCUGGGCCAAUACUGACGCUCAUGCACGAAAGCGUGGGGAGCAAACAGGAUUAGAUACCCCGGUAGUCCCUGUCUCUUAUAC